RNAcentral lists this ribosomal RNA (2820 nucleotides) under Klebsiella aerogenes. RNAcentral's name for it is "bacterial LSU rRNA". It matches the Rfam family "Bacterial large subunit ribosomal RNA". The record is from RNAcentral. Lineage: Bacteria; Pseudomonadati; Pseudomonadota; Gammaproteobacteria; Enterobacterales; Enterobacteriaceae.
AGCCGGCGAUGUCCGAAUGGGGAAACCCAGUGUGAUUCGUCACACUAUCGUUAACUGAAUACAUAGGUUAACGAGGCGAACCGGGGGAACUGAAACAUCUAAGUACCCCGAGGAAAAGAAAUCAACCGAGAUUCCCCCAGUAGCGGCGAGCGAACGGGGAGCAGCCCAGAGUCUGAAUCAGCUUGUGUGUUAGUGGAACGGUCUGGAAAGUCCGACGGUACAGGGUGAUAGUCCCGUACACCAAAAUGCACAGGUUGUGAACUCGAAGAGUAGGGCGGGACACGUGGUAUCCUGUCUGAAUAUGGGGGGACCAUCCUCCAAGGCUAAAUACUCCUGACUGACCGAUAGUGAACCAGUACCGUGAGGGAAAGGCGAAAAGAACCCCGGCGAGGGGAGUGAAAAAGAACCUGAAACCGUGUACGUACAAGCAGUGGGAGCACCUUCGGGUGUGACUGCGUACCUUUUGUAUAAUGGGUCAGCGACUUAUAUUCUGUAGCAAGGUUAACCGUAUAGGGGAGCCGCAGGGAAACCGAGUCUUAACUGGGCGUUAAGUUGCAGGGUAUAGACCCGAAACCCGGUGAUCUAGCCAUGGGCAGGUUGAAGGUUGGGUAACACUAACUGGAGGACCGAACCGACUAAUGUUGAAAAAUUAGCGGAUGACUUGUGGCUGGGGGUGAAAGGCCAAUCAAACCGGGAGAUAGCUGGUUCUCCCCGAAAGCUAUUUAGGUAGCGCCUCGUGAACUCAUCUUCGGGGGUAGAGCACUGUUUCGGCUAGGGGGUCAUCCCGACUUACCAACCCGAUGCAAACUACGAAUACCGAAGAAUGUUAUCACGGGAGACACACGGCGGGUGCUAACGUCCGUCGUGAAGAGGGAAACAACCCAGACCGCCAGCUAAGGUCCCAAAGUCACAGUUAAGUGGGAAACGAUGUGGGAAGGCACAGACAGCCAGGAUGUUGGCUUAGAAGCAGCCAUCAUUUAAAGAAAGCGUAAUAGCUCACUGGUCGAGUCGGCCUGCGCGGAAGAUGUAACGGGGCUAAACUGUGCACCGAAGCUGCGGCAGCGACACUAUGUGUUGUUGGGUAGGGGAGCGUUCUGUAAGCCUGCGAAGGUGGCCUGUGAGGGUUGCUGGAGGUAUCAGAAGUGCGAAUGCUGACAUAAGUAACGAUAAUGCGGGUGAAAAGCCCGCACGCCGGAAGACCAAGGGUUCCUGUCCAACGUUAAUCGGGGCAGGGUGAGUCGACCCCUAAGGCGAGGCCGAAAGGCGUAGUCGAUGGGAAACAGGUUAAUAUUCCUGUACUUGGUGUUACUGCGAAGGGGGGACGGAGAAGGCUAUGUUAGCCGGGCGACGGUUGUCCCGGUUUAAGCAUGUAGGCGGAGGUUCCAGGUAAAUCCGGUACCUUUUUAACGCUGAGGUGUGAUGACGAGGCACUACGGUGCUGAAGUAACAAAUGCCCUGCUUCCAGGAAAAGCCUCUAAGCAUCAGGUAACAUCAAAUCGUACCCCAAACCGACACAGGUGGUCAGGUAGAGAAUACCAAGGCGCUUGAGAGAACUCGGGUGAAGGAACUAGGCAAAAUGGUGCCGUAACUUCGGGAGAAGGCACGCUGAUAUGUAGGUGAAGCCCCUGCGGGUGGAGCUGAAAUCAGUCGAAGAUACCAGCUGGCUGCAACUGUUUAUUAAAAACACAGCACUGUGCAAACACGAAAGUGGACGUAUACGGUGUGACGCCUGCCCGGUGCCGGAAGGUUAAUUGAUGGGGUUAUCCGUAAGGAGAAGCUCUUGAUCGAAGCCCCGGUAAACGGCGGCCGUAACUAUAACGGUCCUAAGGUAGCGAAAUUCCUUGUCGGGUAAGUUCCGACCUGCACGAAUGGCGUAAUGAUGGCCAGGCUGUCUCCACCCGAGACUCAGUGAAAUUGAACUCGCUGUGAAGAUGCAGUGUACCCGCGGCAAGACGGAAAGACCCCGUGAACCUUUACUAUAGCUUGACACUGAACAUUGAGCCUUGAUGUGUAGGAUAGGUGGGAGGCUUUGAAGCGUGGACGCCAGUCUGCGUGGAGCCAACCUUGAAAUACCACCCUUUAAUGUUUGAUGUUCUAACGUUGGCCCCUAAUCGGGGUUGCGGACAGUGUCUGGUGGGUAGUUUGACUGGGGCGGUCUCCUCCCAAAGAGUAACGGAGGAGCACGAAGGUUAGCUAAUCCUGGUCGGACAUCAGGAGGUUAGUGCAAUGGCAUAAGCUAGCUUGACUGCGAGCGUGACGGCGCGAGCAGGUGCGAAAGCAGGUCAUAGUGAUCCGGUGGUUCUGAAUGGAAGGGCCAUCGCUCAACGGAUAAAAGGUACUCCGGGGAUAACAGGCUGAUACCGCCCAAGAGUUCAUAUCGACGGCGGUGUUUGGCACCUCGAUGUCGGCUCAUCACAUCCUGGGGCUGAAGUAGGUCCCAAGGGUAUGGCUGUUCGCCAUUUAAAGUGGUACGCGAGCUGGGUUUAGAACGUCGUGAGACAGUUCGGUCCCUAUCUGCCGUGGGCGCUGGAGAAUUGAGGGGGGCUGCUCCUAGUACGAGAGGACCGGAGUGGACGCAUCACUGGUGUUCGGGUUGUCAUGCCAAUGGCAUUGCCCGGUAGCUAAAUGCGGAAGAGAUAAGUGCUGAAAGCAUCUAAGCACGAAACUUGCCCCGAGAUGAGUUCUCCCUGAGACUUUAAGUCUCCUGAAGGAACGUUAAAGACGAUGACGUUGAUAGGUCGGGUGUGUAAGCGUAGCGAUACGUUGAGCUAACCGAUACUAAUGAACCGUGAGGCUUAACCUUACAACGCCGAAGCUGUU